UGAGCAACCUGCCCUUUUCAUCGGAAUAAGCGUUGGAAACGACGUCUAAUGCCGAAUACGACCUCCUUUCGCAUGAUCUGAAGUGGAAAGCUCCGGCGGAGAAGGAUGAGCUCGCGGCCUAUCAGCUUGUUGGUG
RNAcentral lists this ribosomal RNA (135 nucleotides) under uncultured bacterium. RNAcentral describes it as "partial 16S ribosomal RNA". It matches the Rfam family "Bacterial small subunit ribosomal RNA", at positions 118 to 254 of the family's 1533-position model. The record is from RNAcentral.